This 253-nucleotide ribosomal RNA is filed under the name uncultured bacterium. RNAcentral describes it as "partial 16S ribosomal RNA". It matches the Rfam family "Bacterial small subunit ribosomal RNA", at positions 524 to 776 of the family's 1533-position model. The record is from RNAcentral.
UACGGAGGGGGCUAGCGUUGUUCGGAAUUAUUGGGCGUAAAGGGCGCGUAGGCGGCCGAAUAAGUCUGACGUGAAAUCCCCCGGCCCAACCGGGGAACUGCGUUUGAUACUGUUCGGCUCGAGUCCGGGAGAGGGUAGUGGAAUUCCCAGUGUAGCGGUGAAAUGCGUAGAUAUUGGGAGGAACACCGGUGGCGAAGGCGGCUACCUGGACCGGUACUGACGCUGAGGCGCGAAAGCGUGGGGAGCGAACAGG